RNAcentral lists this non-coding RNA (25 nucleotides) under Cricetulus griseus (Chinese hamster). The record is from RNAcentral. Lineage: Eukaryota; Metazoa; Chordata; Mammalia; Rodentia; Cricetidae.
AUUCUGCAGAAGUGAAGGCCUGGCU